Molecule: long non-coding RNA, 165 nt
Filed under: Pan troglodytes (chimpanzee)
Lineage: Eukaryota; Metazoa; Chordata; Mammalia; Primates; Hominidae
Description: lncRNA (ENSPTRG00000052937.1)
Source: RNAcentral
AUGCAAACAAAUCCUCAUGCAGCUGGAACUUGCCCCACCAGAUUCUCUUUUGGUGAUUCAGAGCUGAAGGUGCCUCACUGCCCUGUGGAACAGGUGAAUAAAGCCUUUCCAGCAUCUCUCUCUAGCCUAUUAUCUCCUGUUAGACACAGCCCAGAAAAUGAAUAG